RNAcentral lists this ribosomal RNA (435 nucleotides) under uncultured bacterium. RNAcentral describes it as "partial 16S ribosomal RNA". It matches the Rfam family "Bacterial small subunit ribosomal RNA", at positions 29 to 507 of the family's 1533-position model. The record is from RNAcentral.
AACGAACGCUGGCGGCAUGCCUAACACAUGCAAGUCGAACGAUUGCCUUCGGGUGAUAGUGGCGCACGGGUGCGUAACGCGUGGGAAUCUGCCCUUAGGUUCGGAAUAACAGCUGGAAACGGCUGCUAAUACCGGAUGAUAUCGCGAGAUCAAAGAUUUAUCGCCUGAGGAUGAGCCCGCGUUGGAUUAGGUGGUUGGUGGGGUAAAGGCCUACCAAGCCGACGAUCCAUAGCUGGUCUGAGAGGAUGAUCAGCCACACUGGGACUGAGACACGGUCCAGACUCCUACGGGAGGCAGCAGUGGGGAAUAUUGGACAAUGGGCGCAAGCCUGAUCCAGCAAUGCCGCGUGAGUGAUGAAGGCCCUAGGGUUGUAAAGCUCUUUUACCCGGGAAGAUAAUGACUGUACCGGGAGAAUAAGCCCCGGCUAACUCCGUG